RNAcentral lists this transfer RNA (66 nucleotides) under Rhynocoris fuscipes. Its description in RNAcentral is "tRNA-Glu". It matches the Rfam family "tRNA". Rfam says of the family: Transfer RNA (tRNA) molecules are approximately 80 nucleotides in length. Their secondary structure includes four short double-helical elements and three loops (D, anti-codon, and T loops). The record is from RNAcentral. Lineage: Eukaryota; Metazoa; Arthropoda; Insecta; Hemiptera; Reduviidae.
AUUCACAUAGUUUAACUUAAAACACUUCAUUUUCAAUGAAGAAAUGAAUUUAUAAUUCUAUGAAUA